This 291-nucleotide ribosomal RNA is filed under the name uncultured Sphingomonas sp. Its description in RNAcentral is "partial 16S ribosomal RNA". It matches the Rfam family "Bacterial small subunit ribosomal RNA", at positions 505 to 795 of the family's 1533-position model. The record is from RNAcentral. Lineage: Bacteria; Pseudomonadati; Pseudomonadota; Alphaproteobacteria; Sphingomonadales; Sphingomonadaceae.
GUGUCAGCAGCCGCGGUAAUACGGAGGGGGCUAGCGUUGUUCGGAAUUACUGGGCGUAAAGCGCACGUAGGCGGCUUUGUAAGUUAGAGGUGAAAGCCCGGAGCUUAACUCCGGAACUGCCUUUAAGACUGCAUCGCUCGAAUCAUGGAGAGGUCAGUGGAAUUCCGAGUGUAGAGGUGAAAUUCGUAGAUAUUCGGAAGAACACCAGUGGCGAAGGCGACUGACUGGACAUGUAUUGACGCUGAGGUGCGAAAGCGUGGGGAGCAAACAGGAUUAGAUACCCCUGUAGUC